GCUCAAGUAGCUUACCAUUAAAGCAUUGUUUUUGUAAACCAAAGCCGGACACCAGUCCCUAGAGCA
RNAcentral lists this transfer RNA (66 nucleotides) under Nerodia sipedon. Its description in RNAcentral is "tRNA-Thr". The record is from RNAcentral. Lineage: Eukaryota; Metazoa; Chordata; Lepidosauria; Squamata; Natricidae.